AUUGAACGCUGGCGGCAGGCCUAACACAUGCAAGUCGAGCGAGCGGCGGACGGGUGAGUAAUGCCUGGGAAUUGCCCAGUCGAGGGGGAUAACAGUUGGAAACGACUGUUAAUACCGCAUACGAUUGGAUUGCCCAGGUUGUAUUAGCUAGUUGGUGAGGUAAUGGCUCACCUAGGCGACGAUCCCUAGCUGGUCUGAGAGGAUGAUCAGCCACACUGGGACUGAGACACGGCCCAGACUCCUACGGGAGGCAGCAGUGGGGAAUAUUGCACAAUGGGCGAAAGCCUGAUGCAGCCAUGCCGCGUGUAUGAAGAAGGCCUUCGGGUUGUAAAGCACUUUCAGCGGGGAGGCGUUACUCGCAGAAGAAGCACCGGCUAACUCCGUGCCAGCCGCCGCGGUAAUUC
RNAcentral lists this ribosomal RNA (404 nucleotides) under uncultured bacterium. Its description in RNAcentral is "partial 16S ribosomal RNA". It matches the Rfam family "Bacterial small subunit ribosomal RNA", at positions 30 to 526 of the family's 1533-position model. The record is from RNAcentral.